This 147-nucleotide non-coding RNA is filed under the name Homo sapiens (human). Lineage: Eukaryota; Metazoa; Chordata; Mammalia; Primates; Hominidae. The record is from Rfam by way of RNAcentral.
GCUGGGCAUGGUGGCGCAUGCCUGUAGUCCCAGGUACUUGGGAAGCUGAGGCAGGAGAAUUGCUUGAACCCAGGAGGUGGAGGUUGCAGUGAGACGAGAUUGUGCCACUGCACUCCAGCCUGGUGACAGAGUGAGACCCUGUCUCAA